Molecule: long non-coding RNA, 243 nt
Filed under: Lathyrus oleraceus (garden pea)
Lineage: Eukaryota; Viridiplantae; Streptophyta; Magnoliopsida; Fabales; Fabaceae
Description: Pisum sativum (pea) long non-coding RNA (PSAT_LNC002581)
Source: RNAcentral
AAAAAAAAAUAAAAAAAAAAGAGAGGAGGGUGCAAAAUCAAAAGAAAUCCAAAUCAAAAGAAAGAAAAAGAAAGAAAGAAAUAAAGGAAAAAUAGCACCCUCAAGUCCCAAGUUGACUGAUGCUGAAUUCGACCAAAAAGGAAGAGAUCAACUGCCAUAUGUCAUGGUCAGUUACAUCAGCAGAGAGUAAAGAAAGCAUUCGACAAGAAGGUCAAGCCUCGUGUGUUCCGAGAAGGUGACCUU